This 671-nucleotide ribosomal RNA is filed under the name Lambiella sphacelata. RNAcentral describes it as "eukaryotic LSU rRNA". The stretch from base 246 to 399 matches the Rfam family "5.8S ribosomal RNA". The record is from RNAcentral. Lineage: Eukaryota; Fungi; Ascomycota; Lecanoromycetes; Baeomycetales; Xylographaceae.
UCUUCCCUAAUUAACAAAUAUAAGCGACAUAAGCUAACUAAACAUUGAUAGGUGAACCUGCGGAAGGAUCAUUAUUGAGAUAGGGUCUUUAGGCUCGAACCUCCCACCCUUUGUAAAUUUACCUGUUUCUUUGGCGGGCCGUUGUGCAUUAUUAUUGCCUCUAUUGACUUCGGUGAAUAAGUGCUCGUCAAAGACCCUUAAAAUUCAAUUUAUGCGUGACGUCCGAGAUAACAUUUAAUUGUUAAAACUUUCAACAACGGAUCUCUUGGUUCUGGCAUCGAUGAAGAACGCAGCGAAAUGCGAUAAGUAAUGUGAAUUGCAGAAUUCAGUGAAUCAUCGAAUCUUUGAACGCACAUUGCGCCCUCUGGUAUUCCGGGGGGCAUGCCUGUUCGAGCGUCAUUACACCCCUUAAGCUUAGCUUAGUAUUAGGUGCUCACCCUUUGGGUGGUCCUUAAAAUUAGCGGCGAUGCGGUCGGCCUUUUAUGCGUAGUAAAACUUUUGUUCUCGCAUUUGGCUUGGGUGUAUCAGCCGGAUAAUUAUUUAUUUUCUAUGAAUUGACCUCGGAUCAGGUAGGGAUACCCGCUGAACUUAAGCAUAUCAAUAAGCGGAGGAAAAGAAACCAACAGGGAUUGCCUUAGUAACGGCGAGUGAAGCGGCAACAGCUCAAAUUU